This 468-nucleotide ribosomal RNA is filed under the name uncultured bacterium. RNAcentral describes it as "partial 16S ribosomal RNA". It matches the Rfam family "Bacterial small subunit ribosomal RNA", at positions 28 to 507 of the family's 1533-position model. The record is from RNAcentral.
GACGAACGCUGGCGGCGUGCUUAACACAUGCAAGUCGAACGGAAAGUCCCUGCUUUUGUGGGGUGCUCGAGUGGCGAACGGGUGAGUAACACGUGAGUAACCUGCCCUUGACUUUGGGAUAACUUCAGGAAACUGGGGCUAAUACCGGAUAGGAGCUCCUGCUGCAUGGUGGGGGUUGGAAAGUUUCGGCGGUUGGGGAUGGACUCGCGGCUUAUCAGCUUGUUGGUGGGGUAGUGGCUUACCAAGGCUUUGACGGGUAGCCGGCCUGAGAGGGUGACCGGCCACAUGGGGACUGAGAUACGGCCCAGACUCCUACGGGAGGCAGCAGUGGGGAAUAUUGCACAAUGGGCGGAAGCCUGAUGCAGCAACGCCGCGUGCGGGAUGACGGCCUUCGGGUUGUAAACCGCUUUCGCCUGUGACGAAGCGUGAGUGACGGUAAUGGGUAAAGAAGCACCGGCUAACUACGUG